Molecule: non-coding RNA, 36 nt
Filed under: unclassified sequences
Source: RNAcentral
ACGGAGGAACCCGAAAAGCCGUCAAGUGAGUAGGGA